This is a non-coding RNA of Spinacia oleracea (spinach), 128 nucleotides long. NCBI's taxonomy places the organism in Eukaryota, Viridiplantae, Streptophyta, Magnoliopsida, Caryophyllales, Amaranthaceae. The record is from Rfam.
GUGCAAGGUCAUUGAUUUUAGAAUAAUGCAAUCUGUCAUUGAAGGUUGACAAAAUUAAAAUAUUGGGUGAUUCUCCGUGCCUUUCGAACUACUGAUUUUGGUAGUGGCCUUGAACAAAUUACUACAUU